RNAcentral lists this ribosomal RNA (242 nucleotides) under uncultured bacterium. RNAcentral describes it as "partial 16S ribosomal RNA". It matches the Rfam family "Bacterial small subunit ribosomal RNA", at positions 73 to 334 of the family's 1533-position model. The record is from RNAcentral.
GCAGGUUUCGGCUUGUCAGUGGCGGACGGGUGAGUAACGCGUAGGUAUCUGUCCUGAGGUGGGGGAUAACCAUGGGAAACUGUGGCUAAUACCGCAUGAUGACUGAGGUCCAAAGGCGUAAGUUGCCUUAGGAGGAGCCUGCGUCCGAUUAGCUUGUUGGUGGGGUAAAGGCUUACCAAGGCGAUGAUCGGUAGCUGGUCUGAGAGGAUGAUCAGCCACACUGGGACUGAGACACGGCCCAG